RNAcentral lists this long non-coding RNA (4249 nucleotides) under Homo sapiens (human). RNAcentral's name for it is "non-protein coding LINC00982:25". Lineage: Eukaryota; Metazoa; Chordata; Mammalia; Primates; Hominidae. The record is from RNAcentral.
AGCGGAGGCGCCGCCAGCUCCGCGCUCCGCCACUGCCCAGGCCGGCGGGCGGCACUCGGACCCGCCGCCCUCGGUCCCUCGCGAGGCCACGGAGGCCAACACGCCUCGCACGGGGGGACAGCGCGGGGGCAGCCGUCCAAACACCAGGCGUCCUCGGCUGGUCGUCCCAGGGCGCCCGCACCUCUCCGCCCGCGCUCUCCUGCCGCCGCGCCCCCAAGCCCCCAAACUCCGAGGCGCUGCGGCGGAGGGGCCGGGCUGAGCGCAGGCAGGGUGGCCCGGGCCCAGGAGCCUGACGGCCUGAGUGCGGAUUUCUCAUCUGAGUAUCUGGGAAUCGAGAAUGAAUUGGAAGGAAACCGAGGCGCUGCCCUGGCCAGGUUGCUGCCCCGCACCCUUCCGGAGCACCGAAGUCCUGCCCGGCAACGGGACUUGGAGCUGCCGCAGAGUCAGCCUGAGCCCGAGGCAGGGGUCGCGCCCGCGAUGCGGGGUCUCUGCGCCGCCCCGCGAGGCUCCUGGCCUUGCCCUCCCUGCCCUUUGUUGUGUAAUAAGACCUGUGGCGGCUCCACUGAGACCCACACGUGCAACUCCGCGCCUCCGCGUUAAAGGAGGUGAAACGCAGCAGCCCUGAGAAACCCCGAGACCCCGGUGUCCUAGCAGAGGCGCCCCGGAUGGGGAGGGGCGCGGGGCCGGCGCCACCCCAGAGGAAAAGCCCAGCGGAGCCGGGUUGGGCAGGAGCUGGCGGCGGCGGUGCGCUGGGCCUUCUGCCUUGGAUCCUCCGCGGUCGGCACCGCUUCCCUGCUCAGAUUCGAACCCAGAUUCGGCUCCCAAGGCUCCCACGGCUCCAGGGUGCCCAGUCUUGCAGCCAGCUCGCCGCCCGAGCCCCGGAUGGAGGAAGCGCUCACUGGCCGCUACCUCUGCUGUUUCUGGCACCAGAGAUUGAGACUGUGAACCUGAACUCCCUUGAUCUCCUCCCGUUGGGCCCAGGAGGGAGCCGAAUCCAGGCCCAACCGGGCUCACUGAGAAGAACCUUUAAAAAUCCGCCAACGAAUGCUGUUGCCUGGAUGCGCUGCCUAUGACCUUCAGCCGUGUGUUCACGCGCGCCCGCAGCCGUGGAGUGGCGGUCCCUCCUGCCGCCCGCAACCCCGGGGCCGCCGGUCUGCGCACACCGGGAGCAACUUCGUUACCCACAGCGCCCGCGUCCUGCGGCUCGCGCGGAACUGCGCGCGGGAAGGUGGCAGAGCGACGCUCCAGAACGCUGCUUGCGUAGACGCUGCCGCUGCCUUCAGAUCCCAAUUCGGCCGCGCGCGGGCGGGGCCCUGGCAGCAACGAAAAUGGCGAGCCUCGUAGCCUUCCGGGCCCGGCGGCCACAUUCCGGGAGUCGCCAGGUGGGAGCCCGCCUUCCGUGUCCCCAAACGCCCAGAGCCCGGGACACGGGCCGGCGGCCGGGUCACCAAGCCAGUUCCCGGAAUCGGCUCGCGCCGGAAUCCAGACUCGGCUUGCAAAGCCCGCUCCUGCCGUCUCUCCGCAGCGCGCCCUGCCCCCCACUGCCGGCCCUCUUAGCUUCAAAACCAAAUUUUGCCUUUCAUCCUGAGAGAUUAAUACCCCGCAGGUGAAACCGUGGAGACGGAGCUGCGGUGGGUUUCUUUUCCACGCCUCAGUUUCCUCGUCUGUGAAAUGGGACCAGGCGCGCCUGUGCUUCUCCGGGAGUUUAUUGCAGGGCUGGCUGGAGAGAAUGGCUGGGUGGAAGCUGCCAGGAGGAGGCCCAAGGCCGCCCACCCCGUGGGCCUCGUUUGCUGAGCGGGGGUCAGAGGCGUGCGGGACAGGGCGCGCCCCACGGCGGCUCUGGAGGCGGCCCGGCCCGUCCCUGUCUCCUCCCCUCGCUCCCCCUCCCCCGGCCUUCCCGGAACUCUCCUCGCCCGCUGGGUGGAGGAGGGGCGAGGGCCGACUCCGCCGCCCCUGGGGUCUCCCUCCUCCCACCCCCACCGCAGAGUCUGGCCCGCCCUGGGCUUUCCUCUCAGGUCCCUUUGGGUCUCCAGAAGCCCGGAGGUUUCGCGCAGACUCGAACCUGAGAUGACACCACCCAGCACCCCAAAUCCUGCAGAGUGUGGAGGGGAUCUGGGGAGAAGGCAGGGGCUGCCCGGGCGCUCUGGCUGCUGGGGGUGGGGGACAGGGCCUGCCGGGGAAGCGGGUCGGGGGAGGACUGGAGACCCAGGCUCCCCUAGGUACAACGAACCUCGCGGGAGGGAAUACGCCAUCCCCGUACCCACUUCCGAGGACGUAGGUCUUUUGGCACCGGCGGCAGCCGCGUUCCCACACAUCUGGGCGGGGCCCCGCAGCAUGGCCUGGGGAGCUGAGGCUUCGGGAUCCGGCACAAACUACCAUUCUAGGUGUAGACGGAGGAGGUGGGGUGUGGGAAGCAGGGGGCCAUGGUCUGAGCAGACCUUCUCACCUCUGGGCCUCCCACCUCCUGGGGCAGGACUUACGGGGAAGGACCCGAGGGGAGUGGGGUGUCCAUAGGGACACCCAAGGGUCUAUCCCUGCGAGCUUUGCUUUCUACUAAACCAAUAAUCGCAGUGGUGGUGGCAGUCGAGACACGGCUCAAAGAGCCGGCAAGAAUAGAGCAGAGACCAGGAUCGCCCCAGGCAGGGAAAAAAUGACCAGUUCUGUAGAGUGACCCGAAGGUGAUGGAAUCACUCGGGCGUCCUCCUGGGAAAGAGCUGCCUGCUCCCCCGCCGCCGCCAGUACACCGGCGCCCAUGCCCCGGGGGCUGGAGAGAGCAGCCAGGCACAGGUAACUCAAGAACUCCAGUCCCCUCACGGGUGCCGUGCUGUGGGGCGCCCUCACCCCCACACUUUGGGUCCCUGGGCCUCCUCAUCAAAGCAGGGGCCUGAGUGGCAGGAACACCCCUGUGUGCAGAAUAGUGCCCCCUGCAGCCCCCACAGGUCACCUCUUUGAGGACCUAGGUGGGGCCUGCCCUGGGGACUGGGGUGAAGAGGGCAGGUCCAGCCUUCAGCAGCCCCUCCCCCAUGACUUCAGUGGAAUUACAAGGGGAACACCCAGGGCAGCUCCCGUAGGCUGCACAAGGGAAGAGGGGAGGGCUUCUACUGAGGUGAAACAGUGACCCACCCCUCCCACACCGUCAGCCUCCCUCCCCUCUCCACCCUUCAGUGCUGGGACCCCAGGGCCCAUAGACAGCUGGGGGAGUGGGGAGACAGGAGGAACUCAAGCUCAGCUUCUGCCUCCUGUCUCCUGGGACCCUCGGGCAGCCCCUCCAGCUUCCUGGGAGUCCAAUUUCCCAAGGUAGAACGGUGGCGGCAGAGCCUGGCCCUGUGGUGGGGCAGCUGCACCCCGAUGAGUGGCUUGCAGUUCCUGGAGCCCUGCAGGUUGUUGGAGAGGCAGGGAGCCCUUCUCCCUCCUGCCUGCCCUCUUGCACUUCCUCUCCCAGAACCCAGCACUACUCCCAGAGGCUCUGAGCUGGAGCCCUAGAAGGUAACCACCUCCUGGCUGGACACAGGGCAAGUUGGGGCCAGGCGUGAGGACAGGUGCCCCAGGAGCCACCUGCUCCACUCAUCCACAAAGGCCUUAACUGGCUCAGGGGCCCCUAGCUCCCAGUCAAGCCCUGCCCUCCUGACCUUGUCCUGCCCUGGUGCUGCCAGUCGGGUGGAGAUGUCUAGGGGCCAGCUGGUCUCCUGGCAACUGAAGUCCGCGCUUCCCUUCCGUUCACUCAUUCCUUCCUUUCCUCAUGCAGGAGGCGCUGCAAGGCUCCGUGCUCCUGGAGCUUCGAGUCUAUGGUAUGAGUUAAACAGAAGGGUAUCUCCUCCAUCAGAUCUACAGGAGGGUGUCUGCUCCAUCAGACCUGGAGCUUCCAAGGCAUUUUACCCGAAGCUCCAGCACCUGGCCCAAGGCUGGGCUGUGCUGUGUCCUCAGUGAAAGAAUGGAUGAGUCACAGCUGAAUGACUGAAGAGCUGAACCAAUGGGAAAACUGAUGCUCAGAGGCUUGAGCAACCUAGGCCAGGACCUGUCCUUAGAGGCAGAAGCAGGACUCAGAGGAAGAGCACCCUGACCACAAAGCCCCAGGGUCCAGAAAGACUCAGCCACUGGAGUCUGUAUUUCCUGAGUCGCCUCUCACUGCUGGAGCUGUUUAUCAUCGCUCCAACUUUCACUAAAAAGGAAAAACUAUCACUUAAACAAAGCCAUUGAAACCCCAGCAUCAUGUGUGGAUUUUUUAACAUAAAUAAAUCAUACAAACUAA